Molecule: ribosomal RNA, 544 nt
Filed under: uncultured fungus
Lineage: Eukaryota; Fungi
Description: eukaryotic LSU rRNA
Rfam family: 5.8S ribosomal RNA (bases 76-229)
Source: RNAcentral
CGACGGCACCCGUGGAAACCCAUUUUACCUGAAAGGAAGAAUAUACCGUCUGAGCGCGAAGUCUAAUGACUAUAAAACUUUCAACAACGGAUCUCUUGGUUACCGCAUCGAUGAAGAACGCAGCGAAACGCGAUAGUUAAUGUGAAUUGCAGAAUUCAGUGAAUCAUCGAGUCUUUGAACGCACAUUGCGCCUUUUGGUAUUCCGAGAGGCACGUCCGUUCGAGCGUCAGUGAAAACCCUUCUGGGCCCGCCUUUGCCGGCGUGGCCGUGGGACCAUGGCGAGGGGAUGUAGACCCAACCGGUGUCCCGCAAAGGGUGCCGGAAAGGUUUCCCCCGCUUAAACGUGGAGAAAGCUAGCGGGCUGAUUCCGUCGCGACCGCGAAGACUAGUAAGCAUUGCGCACCUGUCACCGCACCAUCCGACGGAACGCCCCGCCUCCCAACCCUAACCGGAAAAAGGCCUGUCCACCCCUUAGCGGGCGACGGACCCUGACCGGAACCUGACUCUUGACCUCGAAUCGGAUGAGGAUACCCGCUGAACUUAA